AGAGCGAACGCUGGCGGCAGGCCUAACACAUGCAAGUCGAGCGCCGUAGCAAUACGGAGCGGCAGACGGGAGAGUAACACGUGGGAACGUGCCCUUCAGUUCGGAACAACCCAGGGAAACUUGGGCUAAUACCGGAUACGUCCGUAAGGAGAAAGAUUUAUCGCUGAAGGAUCGGCCCGCGUCUGAUUAGCUAGUUGGUGAGGUAACGGCUCACCAAGGCGACGAUCAGUAGCUGGUCUGAGAGGAUGAUCAGCCACACUGGGACUGAGACACGGCCCAGACUCCUACGGGAGGCAGCAGUGGGGAAUCUUGCGCAAUGGGCGAAAGCCUGACGCAGCGACGCCGCGUGGGGAAGAAGGCUUUCGGGUUGUAAACCCCUUUCAGUUGGGACGAAGCUUCGGCGGUGAAUAGCCGCCUGGAGUGACGGUACCUUCAGAAGAGCCCGGCUAACUACGUGCCAGCAGCCGC
Molecule: ribosomal RNA, 468 nt
Filed under: uncultured bacterium
Lineage: Bacteria
Description: SSU rRNA
Rfam family: Bacterial small subunit ribosomal RNA
Source: RNAcentral